Molecule: ribosomal RNA, 449 nt
Filed under: uncultured bacterium
Lineage: Bacteria
Description: partial 16S ribosomal RNA
Rfam family: Bacterial small subunit ribosomal RNA
Source: RNAcentral
AACGAACGCUGGCGGCAUGCCUAACACAUGCAAGUCGAACGAGAUCUUCGGGUCUAGUGGCGCACGGGUGCGUAACGCGUGGGAAUCUGCCCUUUGGUUCGGAAUAACAGUUGGAAACGACUGCUAAGACCGGCUGAUGACGAAAGUCCAAAGAUUUAUCGCCAGAGGAUGAGCCCGCGUAGGAUUAGCUAGUUGGUGUGGUAAAGGCGCACCAAGGCGACGGUCCUUAGCUGGUCUGAGAGGAUGAUCAGCCACACUGGGACUGAGACACGGCCCAGACUCCUACGGGAGGCAGCAGUGGGGAAUAUUGGACAAUGGGCGAAAGCCUGAUCCAGCAAUGCCGCGUGAGUGAUGAAGGCCUUAGGGUUGUAAAGCUCUUUUACCCGGGAUGAUAAUGACAGUACCGGGAGAAUAAGCUCCGGCUAACUCCGUGCCAGCAGCCGCCGUAA